GUGCUGGUGAAUGAAGGGCAGCUGAGCAGUGAGGCUCUGCUAUAAAAGGGACCUGCUGGGUUAGGAGCCUCCAAAAGGUCAUAUGGGAGCUGGGAUUGUGAAUGUGUAGGCUGCUGCUAUGAUGCACUAGGGGAACAAUAGGCUUACAGCAAGGCUCUGAGUGCAUAUCUAGAGAUUUAACCUCAGGUCUUUGAUUGUGGUUAAAGCUUUGAUUGUUGAAAGCUAGUGAGACAGCUGCUAGAGAGAAGAGGAAGUAGAUGUAUUUGGAAACUGCUUUUUAUGAUUGUUACCAUUUUCCAGCUGUUUGCUGCUCUGGAGGGAGUGAAGGAGAAGAUCUAAGGCAAAGAAGAUUAGGAACCAGAAGCAAUUCUGAAAGUCUACAGCCUGAGUGCUGAAUCUGCAUAGUUUCCCUGGACAUCAGCAGCAGCCUUGAGGCAUCACCUGUGGAGACACCUGAAACAAGCACAUGCUUUAGAAAAAUAGCAGAUUGCAAACAGGAGUGUGCCUAAUGGUGGGGUUGGGUCUGCCAGUCUGCAGUCCUCAGCCAUACACUGAAGCAUGUAGAGGUGUGUGGGUGAUGGAGCAGCAUGGUUAGCUGCCUCUCACAUGGGACCCUCUUCCUUUGACUGCUGUGAGCAGUAGCAAAGAUGUCACAUGGCUUUCCACGAACUGUUCCAUGGCAGGUGGCUUGUUUGGCCAAAGAAGCUGUCCUGCACUGACAGCAUCUGCAGGACGCACCACUAAGGUUUAUGAGUGAUACACCAUCUUUAAUGUUUCUUCCAAACAGAUGUUAUAAUUCCCUUUUUUGUUGUUAGGGGAAGAAACAGAUUAUGGCCACUAUUCUCUAUACUAUCUUCUAUUAGCUGUUGUUAUUAAUAGGAUCAAGCUGUUAUUAGAAAUAGCGGGUAACUAUUCCCAGAAGGCAUUCACUUCAUGACUUGUGUACUCACUCACAUUCACUGUUGUUGCCCAGCUGGAGCUGGGAGGCCAACCCCAGCGUGUUUGCUCAGAAGCAGGAGGUCAUCCUGAUGCACCAGUGGGUUCUAGGCAGGUGUUUAGAAAUCCCUUCAGAGGGCGCUUUGUUUCACCAGGUGCAUACAUGACUCCAUAGUCUUCACUUGCAUGCAGCAGCCAGUGCCCUCGUGGGUGUGAUCUGAGUUAUACAACCUGCUGAAGAUGCUGAUGUUUGCUGGCAGCCUUGUUCAACAUCAGGCUCUGGAGUCUAUCAGUUCUUUGAUAUCCAUAGACUUCCAUCUCAUGUCGGCAUUCCUGUUAUCAAGACACUCCCUCUGAAGCUAUGGAGUUGCAGAGCUGUUUGCAGGUGGUCCAGCUGACUCUUAUAUGAGGCAAUGACCUUCUCUGCACUGUAACAUACUGGUGCUGGACCUGGCUGUAUGUGAAUUCCUCGCAGACGAGAGUUAGGAGGAGCACUGACUACGUGGUACCCAGCAGCUAGCAAAUUGCAUACCUGCUCUACGUGGGAACCCAGCAGAGCGGGAUGGCCCAGGGCCUCAGCAGAGAGCUUCCUGGGAUCUCGGCCAUAUGGCACACUGCACUGGUUACUCGUGAAGAGGUUCACUUGAGGCUUUCCUAUACAUGUGGUUAACAAGACAGUCUACUUCUUCAGCAGGUUUCAAUUAGUGUGGCUGCUCUGUGGGCGGCACUGGCUCAGUCUGGCAGCUUUGCCAAUGGUCUCAGUUGGCUUCUCUUACUUUUGCUUGCAUGACUCUGGGUCUUCUGCUGCUGAUAGAAGAAACGCCUUUUCUGACUGCACUGCAAGGGGCUCUGGAGACACCUGAGCUGUAGGUAGCGUACAGCUGGCACAUCUGAAUGUAAUGCCAGUCAGCAAGCUGGGAGAAAGGACUGCUAUCAUCUUGGGUGUCCUCAGGGGAGGAAAGGGUGAGUGCUCUGAAACUCUUCCUAUUCCAGCUGUGUCUUUUCCCCUCCACGGAGCCUGAGCCUCCAGGAGGCUCCUGCCCUGAGCAAAGUGGCUGGGGAUGAGGGUAAAGGGCUGCUGUAAUGGGGAAGUCCAAGGGCUACCAUAGAACCUUCUGCCCCCCCCUCCCCCCAAGAGCCAUGUCCUGCUGCAGCGGGACUUGAGCAGCCAUGAGGAGAGGAGGAACUGAAGGUCUGAUCUGGGUGCUCUGACUCACUACUCAGCUGAGCAGGAAGCAUGAGGGGACUCAACUGGUGUGAUCAGGAAAACAGCAGGAGCUGGCUUUUUGAGAAGGAACUGGAACAGAGAAACCUUUGUGCUUCCUGCAGGCAUGUGGUAGGGAGAAGGGACGGUUUUAGACCUGUUUUAUUGUGGUGAAAAUUGAGAGGGUCGUGCCGCCAUGCUUGGCGCUAGCUGUGUAGGUAGCUGUCGUGGUGGUGGAGGGGAGGUCAGUGUGUGGAGUGACACUUGUUGCUCUUUGUCACACUGCUGGCAUUCUGUGAUAGGUUCCAAAAGCAUUCGGAAAUCCCAAACAGAGUCAGAAAUUAAAAACGGGUGGUGGUUUGUGGUUCAUAUGACAGAAGGCAUAAACCAGCAGGGAAGUGUGUACAGGUGACAUUGAGCCACUGGCUGUAGUUUUAAAUGCUGAAAUAAGCGAUGCUGAUUGUUUCACGAAGCCAAGUUCCUCAUCCAGCUAUUACAGAGCUGACAUUUGGGAAAUCAGAUGCACGUGUAGCCCUUACGGACAGACUCUGCUUUGCAUGAGCUUUGCUGAGAUUUGCACCGCCAGGCAUCUCACUUCUGUUUGUCACUGUGAUUGCCUUCUUGGCAAUGCAUCGUGCCAUUUACUGCCCCUCAUGUCCUUAACUGGAAUUAGCUGCCACCCCCUCUCCCAAUGGCUCAAUCACAGCUCUCCAGCAGCUCAGCUCCUUGUUUCCCUCUGCUGCCAGCCUACUCUGCAAUCACCUUUGCAGUAAGAACGGUUUUGCAUUGGUGUCCCUGUCUCCCUCCCAAAGAGCUGCCUAGCCCUGUCCCCUCAGCCAUGGAAAAACUAUUUUCAAACACAAGAGCAAAGAGGAAGACUUUCAGCAGCUGUAAAGCUCUACUUUUCCUGGGAGGUGCUCUGUCAUUGCCAGCUGCCAGGGAUGUCAGUGAUUUUUGCUGAUGAUGGGAGAAUUGCAUUUGAACUAAAGAGGCAAAGGGAUUAUCUUUAAGCUAACACACUGAAUGAGUACUGCCCUCAUUUUUGCUGCACUGAGGCCCCUCAUGAUCACAAACAGCUCCUUUCCCCUCUGUAGCACUUGUACAGAGGGGAACUGACCGCAUUUAACAGGCCAACGUAGUCUGAAGUGAGGUUUGCAUGAGAGCUACAAUGCCUAAUCCCAGCCUGGCAAAUAUAUACUGUUUGAUGUGCUUUGGGCAGUCUUUUGCAGGUGAGCAUUGCAAUGAACAGCGAGAGCAUCUGUAAGUAUGUGUGCUACUGCCCUUUGUGUUGAGAUGGUGCCACGAGGCCAGGCAGCUGACCUGCCUCCCACAGACCAGAGAGUGCUGACACCACACAUGGUGUCCUGGCAAACAUUUGGGUUAGAAAUGUCUGUAUUAGCUGGCCAUGUGGAAGGGAGAUGUAUUGCUGCUGUGCAACUGAGGGCAAAGAGACAGCCCCCAGCACUCAUGCAGCUCAGGAUCUGCCUGCAGCACAGCUCAGCACUGUGCUGUCAGGGGGCAGAGCUGAAGGCCCUGUCAGCCUCACGGCAACACAGGCAGCUCAACCCCAAGUGGAGCAGGUGGGACAGAAGGUCCCCACCGCAGCCAUCGAUGUGCCCAACCAAACCCUACUUCCCUGUGCCAGACACUCAAUGUCAAAUCUCUCUUCGAGAGACCGCAGCAGAAAAUCUGAGAAGCAGGAAAGCAUCAUCUGUGCCAGCUGCAGGAGGAUUAGGAGACCUGCCCAGUGUGUGAGUGAAGCCAAUAGCAGAGUGAGAAGCAAAUGCAUGAUGAGUGACUCAGGCUCCAGGCUGGCCCAGCCCAAGGGGUGUGAACCUGCAUCACCUCUUGAGCAGCUCCAUCCCACCCAGGGACCUCUUGCCAUCGUCCCAUCAGGACUGAUGUGCUGCCAGAAACCAGAAAUAGUAUCCUGAAGAAGAAAAAAAAGUGUGUGUGGGGGGAGGGGGACGUUUGUGCUGUAUCAAUGUGUUCUGGUUUGGGUUUUUCAAAACAAAAUGCUUCUGGCCUUUGCUUGGAAAAGGAUUUUCAGCUUUAUUUGUGUGCAAAAGCGCUGAUUAUGUGUUACAAUGGAAGGAGUCAAAAUCAAAAGGAAAGGAAAUAGAACGCUGAAAGAGACAACGGCCUGGAGAAAAACCAACCCCAGACAGCUGGGAAAUCCCAGCUCUUUGUCUGCAGAUAGAUCUGAAAAGACCAAGGGGUUUUUCCUUUGAUUCUCAGGUUUGCCCUGAAUCCAAAUGAAAGCUAAUACUGGUAUAGCUGACUUCUGCGAAGAGAAAACAUCCAUUUUUGAUUCUCUUUCCAUAUUUCCCCCCCCCCCCCCAUGCUCUGCCUGCACAUGAUGCAGCCAAACAGGAAUUGGAGAGAGACGAAGAAAAUUUUCAUAAACACAGAAAAUAAAUUGCACACAAACAUCAAACCAAAGCUGGUGCAUUGUUAGCAGUGCUUUUCCAGAGCCUUGAUAUUUCCUGAGGACUCUCAUGGGUCUGCGGUCUCUUCCACCACAUCAAUCCCAGUACGUUGUAUGCUCAUUAGCCCGAAGAGCAUGCUCAUAUUUAUGGGGUUGGGAGUGGCACGAUGAGCUCCGUUCCCAAAGGUGGAAUAUUCACUGUGUGCUGCCAGACAUCAUGGUAAUUUGGGGUGUGUGGGGGCUGGAGGGCACAGCCCCAUACUUCGCAGCCUGCUGUGGAGCUCCUUGCUGCAAGUCUCAGCCCUCCCAGCAUGGCACGUGCUGAUGCAGGCUGCCUGUUGGCAACGUUUGCCAGAAGUUUAUCAUCUCCUGUGUUUAAAAAAAAAAAAAAAAAAACUCCCAUCAGUCAAGCUCAGCUCUUCCAUUUUCCAGUAAUUCUCAGGGCAUUCUGAACCUCCUCAGCUCCUAAACAAGGAUGGUAUGAGCCACAGCCAUAGCUGCUGCUCUGAAUGCAGCUGAUGUUGCUCACUGUCUUCUGGGAGUCACUGCUGGAGGAGGCUGAGGGCUCCCACCACCGACGCCCAGGAGUGGGGCCCAUUGCACCAGCCUCAUCCAACCCAGUGGAGGUAUCCAGGAAUGAAAGGCACAGAGGCACCACUCGGAGGUGAUUCACCCUUUUCCAAACCCGGUAUCUCAGGCUGCUGCUGUGAGUCACCCUGGGAACCGCCUCCCUGUCUCUCUCAGCUAUAAAAGAUACUUAUUUAACCUGCACGGAUCUCAUGCAUCACUUUAAAAUUGCUGAAGUGGGUUGAAGCCUGCCCCCGCCACCUUUGCCAAGUGACAAGAGAUGCUUCAGCCCUCGCUUGGGUUGGAGGAAUUUUGGCUGGAGGGGAAUUCAGGGCAGGUGAGCGCAGCAUGGCCUGACGUCCUCACCUGCUGGAGGUGGGAGGAUCACAGCUGUAAUGUCCCAGGACAUUAACACUACUUUCCAAUGAUGCACUUCCUGGUGGUCACCCAGGAGCAGCGCAUCUCAGCAUCAUUUCUCUGGGAUUCGGGGUCAGGCUGAGUCUAUUUCAGGUGGUCAAACGGCAGCCGAACAGCUGCUAAUCUAGAUCACUGCUGCUUAAUCCAGCAGCUCGAAAAGACGGA
This 5717-nucleotide long non-coding RNA is filed under the name Gallus gallus (chicken). RNAcentral's name for it is "lncRNA (ENSGALG00010023758.1)". The record is from RNAcentral. Lineage: Eukaryota; Metazoa; Chordata; Aves; Galliformes; Phasianidae.